AUGCGAAAACCCUCUAUAUCUACAUCAUUAUUCUAUCUAUGUAAAAUAAAUACAACAAUGAUCACCAUGUACAAUAUGGCCAUACAACAAUCUGCACCUCUUUCUUCUACCAUAUUCUAUCUAUCUCGGUCAACAAUACCAAAAAAAAUACAUACAACAAAAUCUGUAAGCAAGGUCAAUUUUAUCUACACAACAAUCUGUAAGCAAGGUCAUAUUUAUCUAUCUUCUAUUCCUGCAAGUAUGCAGUUAUGCACAUACUUUUCUUCAUACAAUAGCAGAAGGUCGCAUUAUAUUCAUACAACAAUGGCAACACAGAGCAACCUCCUCUUUACUGUUUGA
Molecule: ribosomal RNA, 339 nt
Filed under: Triticum aestivum (bread wheat)
Lineage: Eukaryota; Viridiplantae; Streptophyta; Magnoliopsida; Poales; Poaceae
Description: partial small subunit ribosomal RNA
Source: RNAcentral